CCUCUGAUGGAUUAUUUUCCCUCUUCAAACUUCGAUGAGUUAGGGAUGACCUCUGAUAUAGCCUUUGGUAGCCAAAAUCCAGGUCGUUCGAUAGAGGCUGCACGAUCAAGUACCAAUGGAUCCCGCAAUGUGAUCUGAAUGCCAUCAUAUGUCCACAACUCUAGCUAAGCCAGCAACCGCAACAUCCAUGUUCUUGACAUUCCAGCUCGUUCCACGUGCUUUUACUUCCUGCUUUGGCCAUUGUCCUAAUUUAGAAACUCGCUCCAUAGAAAUCAGAGGCGGAAGAUAAGAAAAAAAAAAAAAGGAACAAUUAGAGGAUUUUAUUUACACAUACGGCACUAUGACAUCUGCUAUUGGCUAACUUGCAACAUGUUGUUAGUUGUUAACUUGUUUUUGCAACUACGACUUCUCUUUAGCAAAGAAUACUAUCUCACCUUUCAUUGUACUUCUCUCAAAUCUAUAUGUUGAUAUUCAACAAAAAACAUAAUACUCAUGUAGUUCAAGUGGAAUUGGCUAUAAAGUAGGAAAUAUUAUUGAAUCAGAAAUAGUGCAGGAAUUGGAGUAUAACCUGCAAUCUCACUCCAGCAUGGUUUUCUGUCUUUACUAGAUGAAGAGACACACUAGGUGAUGCCCAGACAGUGAUGUAGAUUGUUUCAACUGAGGCUUGAACUAGAUCCAGUCUAACUAUAUGUACAGUCUGCCCAUGCUGCAAGAAAAUGGUGAAAAUUGCAUUUUAGAGUCGAAAAGUCAUUUUUGCAGCCUUACCCUGCAUUUAAGGAAGAGGCUGUUUUCACAACUCGAACCCAUGACCUCCUAGUCACAUGGAAGCAACUUUAUAGUUACGUCAAAGCUCCCCUUCAGUAGACAAGUAAGAAAAGAUGUCCUCCAGUGGAAAAGGAAAACCAAAUAUAUCAGUCCCUCCCUUAACCAAUUGAGACUUGAUCUGGUUAAAUAUUAUGAAAAUAUUUUCUUUUCUCUUCAAGUGACAAUUUCUUCUCCUGUUUCCCCCAAAUAUUAUUUAACACGUACGCUAUUUAUAAAAUAAAAAUGAACAAAGUUAUGUAUAGGUACCUUUGCUAUUACCGAAGAAAACUUGCCAUAUGCUUGCCAAGAUCCAUCUCAUUUAAUUUCUCUUCAACAUCUUUCAUUCUCUCUGGAGUCUCCUUCAGCUCUGAACAGUGAUGGAUACCAAGACCUUUAAUGAGAGGCAUUGCACUUGUGCCUAAAUGCCAUCUUUCUAGGUUCCGAAGUUUUAUAAGAUGAAGGAACUCGAGUUGACUGAAGCUGUUAUCACUGCACAUUAUUUCUUUUCCUUCAUAAGCAUCUUCUAAUAUGAGAUUCCUUAGGUUUGGCAACAUUCCCAAAGUAGGCAUCGGAUCUUCCAUGAAUUUUGACUUCCUAAGAACCAUCAUUGUGAUGGAAUUUGGAAACAGAGGCAGUUUCUCUAUUUUCCCAUGUAAGCACAAUUUCUGGAGCUUUUGACAAGAAUUAACAAAUUCCAGGGAUGGGAAUGAUUCAAAACGUUCACAAAACAAUCUGAGAGUGCUAAGGUUUUUCAAGAUGCUAAUGUUGUUUAAGGAGUAAGAUUUCUUAAUACGUUGCAUGCUUAAUUCUCCAAGAUUGACUAAAUCAACAGGGUCAACAUCUAUCCACUGAUCACAACAAACGCCUUGAAGAACUUGAAGACUAGUGAGUUUGCUUAUAAGUUUCAGAGGUUUUGAAUACGAAGCAACUAAAUGUCUUAGAUUUAUCAGGUCAGCUGUCACGCGGGGUAGUCUGCAAGAGUAUAGCCCCUCAUUGACAAUAAGUGUCUGUAGAUUCUUGAGGUUGCCAAUGGAAGAUGGAAGAUCAUGGAUACCUCUCAAUCUUAAGAACUUGAGGUGGUACAAACUUCCUAUGGCAUCAGGUACUGAUGCAGAAUGCCUAUUGUAAACAGGCAUAUCCAAGUACAACACAUAUAGAUGCUGGAAAACACUCCUGAAUUUUAUAAGACUCAUCUUAUGAAAAUCUGGAUCAAAGAACAUAAUUGACCUCAACUUUAAGUUAGAAAGAUCAAGUGAGAGGUACCUUACUCCUUGACUAUGAAUGCCAUGUCUGAUACAUAAAGAGGAUAUGGAGUGGUUCUUUGGAUCAUAAAUGUCAAAGAAGUUCACCUCCAAUGCCUUUUGUAUCACAAGAUCACGAAGUAAAUCAUGAACCCUACAAUGAGUAACUUUUUCCCAAAAUGUGUCUACCACUUGAACCAAGCUUCUUCUUAUCAGCUCAUUCAAGAAGCCUUCAGCCACAUCCUCCAUUCUUUCUUCUCCAUUUGGUACGAAACCCUCAGCCAUCCACAACCUUAUUAUGUUAUCAGCCUCGAGAACUUGAUCUUCUGGAAAAAUACCAAAGUACAGAAAACACUGCUUGAGCACAGUUGACAAAAUCAUUGUAGCUUAAGGAUAGAAUGCAGGAGAUUUCAAUAAAUUUAUCUUCAAUAAUGUUCUUCCAAAGUUGAUCUUUCACUUCUUGCCAUUUGUCCACCCCCCUCUAUGCGAAAGUAGUCCACUCAAUACAACAAUUGCAAGAGGUAAGCCUCUACACUUUUCCACCAUAUCCUUAGCUAGACUUUCCAUUGCUGGAACCAUUGCUCGAACAUCAAGUAGUUUCCUACAAAAGAGAUCCCAACUUUCUUCUUGGCUUAGGAAACGAAGUUUAUGGAUAAAACCUCUGUUGUCUGCUCUUUCAGCGACAUCCUCUUUGCGCGUGGUAAUAAUAACUCUGCUGCCAUUCUUGCUAUCCGGGAAUGCUCUUUUCAAACUUUCCCAUGCUUCUCUCUGCCAUACAUCAUCAACCACCACAAGGUAUUUGCGUUCUUUUAAUAGAUCACGAAGAUAAAUUUCUAGAUCUCCUUCUGUCAUCCUUUCCAACAAAUCUAGAGUUUCGUUGGUGCGCCCUUGGAUGGAUUUUAUGAUAUUCCUGAAAAGAUCCAUGGUGUUGUACUCUUGAGAAACACAUAUCCAAGAGCGUGUAGGGAAACUAGAGGCUAUAUUAGGAUUUUUGUAGAGGUUUCUUGCAAGAGUGGUCUUGCCUAAUCCGCCCAUUCCAUAAAUGGAGACGACGCUUCAACGAGGCGCUGCUUUGAGAAGUUCAGAUAGCAAUGUUUGUACAACAUCCUGAAGUCCAACAAAAAUGUAAUCCUGGUCAUCCACAUAUGAGGUAGUUCUCCUCAAUGUUCUGACCUGAUUACUUGGCCCUUCUCCAGCAUUACUAUUGAUAUUUGUAAUACCAUAAGUCUCUCGUUUGCGAGAGAUAUCUAUGAUUCGCUGCUUGAGUGAUUGAAUCUCCUCGGCGACAUUGUAGAAUUUCUUCUCCUUCCUGUAUAUGCAAGCGCAAGCCUUGAGACAACUAACACCUUUACCAGCCUCAAAGCUGUAAGUCUCGAGUAUAGCGACAGCAUCAUUAGCAAUAGUGUUGAUUUCAAGCACCCAUUGUUGAACUCUAUGAUCUACACAUUGCUUUAGUUCUGCAUCUUUGAGGAAAGACUGUAUGAAGCGUAACUCAUUUCUCAGCCAUGUAACUUCAUCUCUCAGACUUGUUAUCAGUGAAAUUUGUUGAAUGAGGAAAUCACCCAAUUUUUGAACUGCAAAUGACACAAAGGCAUCAGCCAUCUUUAUGGUUGAAAAAAAGAAGAGAUGACUAUUGGAAAUCAAUAUUUUUUGAAAAAAGGUAGUGUGUAUGGAAAUUAAUAUUGGAAGCAGUAGAUUGAGAGAUGAAUAAUAUUGUUAUGAUGGAAUAAAUUAUUGAGAGUUUGAUAAGUGAUGAAUAUUGUUAACAUGGAAUUCAGUAUUUAAAGCUUAAAAAAUCCGACAGAGGAAAAAGUCUAAAAGUAGAAAGAUGAUAGAGUUUGAGGUUGAUGGUAAAGAAAGAAAAGUAUAUAUUCUCUACUAACUGCAAGCCAAGAAUUUAAAAUUGCAUGACACAAGUUAUGCUCAGUGUAGUGGUGAAGCCAAAAGUUGCCAUUCAAGAUUUAGUAUAUAUGUAUGAAAAAUAAGUUUUAACUUUUGUAUAAUUUUUUAUAUACAUAGUAUAAUUUUUCGACGAAAAAUGUCUGAUUGAACACCCUAAGCUAUAUGUGGCUACGCCACUGCUUCAUUGGCACAAGUUGUGUGUUUAGACAAGAACUUAUGUCCCAAGGCACAAGUCCCCCAGAGCAAACAACAACAACAAGUAGGGUCUGGAGAGGGCAAAAUGUAUGCAGACCGUACCACUACCUCGUGGAGGUAAAGGUUGUUUCAAAAAGGCCCUCGGCAAUAAGUCCCCUGGGUCAAAUAUCACGAUAUUUCUGUACUUUAUACUUUACUUAAAAAGACAUAGUAUCAUAUUAGAUCAAAUUUUAUUAUUCAGAAGAGUUGGUUUAAUUGUUCCUCCACCUAAAUCACUUUUUGCUAAUUAAUUUCAUCUUUAAAUUAUAGAUACCUUUCUUUUCUUUUUAACUAUCCUUGUUAGGGGAAUCUAUAGGAAAAAAUAUGAUGAACAUGACUUCUCAAUUUGAAGAUGCGUUUUGUAACUUUGAAGAGAAGAAAUAAAAUAUUUGAAUUCAGUCUCGGAGGUUAUUCCAAAAAGAUUUUGUAAGAGCUUGAAGGUCAAUAUCUCAAAAUUGAUUUGCUGAAAAAGAAUUUUGUUUCGAAUUGGUGAUUUUUCAAAAGAACUGAUGAAACAUCGAUGAGACUAAUAAUAUAAAAUUUGAGAUUAUUUGGGUAACAUUUGAAUUAGCUUUAGACUGAAUUUUUAAUUAUAGUUCGUUGAAAUUCAAAAUUACCGUCGAAUUAUAUCAAAAAUCAUAUGAUAAUCAUAUAGUGACGGAUGCAUUAUAUGUAAAUUGUUUUUUAAGUUUGGUAUUUUAUUGUAGUUGUAUUGUUUUCGGUCUCCCACUCGGUGUCCGAUACCCGCUAGAGCUCGACUAUCUCGAAUUCGCGCCGUGUAGAGCCAUUUGAGGGGAAGCGCUCUCUAACAAGUAAAUUCCACAGUACUCUUUAAUAUAAUUUUAUUUUAUUUUUUACUAAUUAAUUCAAAGAAGUAGAAUACUCUAUGGUUAAUUUUUGCAUAAAAAUUAGGAAAAAAACAUCUCAGAAAGUUACUUAGUUAUAACAAGCAACAAACAGUUUUGUGAACUAAUAGCCCACCAAUAAGCUCUUUAACAUAAGUAAUUUAUGUAGGGAAACUUUCGCAUAUAGCCACUAAUUAUAAAAAUAGCUUAAUUAUGUAUAUUGCCACUAAAAAUAGCUUAAUUAUACAUAUUGCCACUAAAAAUAGCUUAAUUAUGCAUAUAGCCACUAAAAACAAGUUAUACCAAAAUCAUGGAAUAUUUAAGUUGCAUUGAUGGAGAGACCAAUAGAGAUGGACAAAUCUAUUUAAACAACAUGUGAAACUCAAAACAAAUAGAAGAUAGGAAGAUAUACAAUAAUAGAGAGGCUAGAUACAUAUGGAUUCAAUUUUGAAAAUGAAAAUUCUAACCACAUUCCUUAUAAUUGGAAUAUUUUUGUUUGAUAGUUUUGUGAGAAGUGAACCAAAUACCAAAGAGAUUAGCCAUAUUUGCAAUGGGAAUGUGUAUGAUAAGACUUAAGAGUGGCCCAUUUGCACUAAGUUUGGCUUAUGCUGUUGAAGCAUUACAAAAUGUGACACUAAAUCAAGGUUAUGAUUACUUCAUAACAUCUCCUUAUCCUAAUGAUGCUUUAGCUUAUGGCCAUGCUACUUAGCUUGCAACUCCAUUAUUGAAUUUUCAGAUUGUGGCCUUUGUCUAAGUAGUGCAAAAUCAUUCUUGUUGAGUAAUUGUGAUGGUAGCAUUGGAGGUCAAGUUGAAUUUGUUGAUUGCUCAAUGAGGUACGAACAAUACUCGUUCAGCUAAUAAACUAGAGCCUAAUCUUUUUGCCAUGAUCCACGAAGAUUCAGUCAUUUGUCACUCUGAUUGUCUUAUGAAGAGAUUCCUCAUUGAUUUUUGAUGUAUCCCUGAUUCCUAUCUCGUUUCGUUCAUCUUCGUUUCUUCCUUUUUCCGUUGUUUUGUUUAUUAGGAAAGGCAAGCACAAAAUAAAUGUGCACGACAGGGCAAUAGCGGAAGAAAAUCCAAGUAAAAAAUUUCCCUUCUAUUUGAACCAAGAGAAGACAAAAUAAUGCAAGAAAAACACUGUUUGGGGUCGCAAACAAAUCAAUCAAGCAAAUAAAAUAAAUACAAACACGAGACACCAUAUUUAACAUGGAAAACCUCUUCGGUGUGAAGAGUAAAAACCACAAGGCCAAAGCUCCACUAAAAUCAACAAGAGUUACAAAAGUGUUCUCCAAAAUGGUCACCAACAAAGUGUCAAACAAUGAGCAACACAACUACAAGAUAGCACCAAACACUAGAGAAAUAAAAGGAGCAAAAACACCAAAUAUGCAGCUACUGUUCACGAGCAAAAAUCUGGAGUUACAGGACUCCAAAACACCCUCUUUCAGUUCUCAAUCAAAGAUUAAGUUGGAAGGAACAAGCUGUACAAAAAGCAGCUCAAUCGGAUAAGAAACGAAGUUGGAAUCGCGAUUUGAAAUUGGCUGCAAGGGCUUGUGCGAAAAUCUGCACUCUCUCACUGUUGUCUCUAUAUGUCUACUCUCAAUCUCAUGUAAUUCUUCAAAAUAAGACCUAAAAAGAAAGUCUUACAUAUGCACCAUAAUAUUGGGCUUAUAGACAAAAGUGGGCUAAUCAAAUUUGAGCUAAAUUUAUCCACAUAGGAAGGGAAAAAGGCCCAAAACCCAACAUUGUUGUUGACUUGUUGUAUCUAUAUGUACUAGAUGGUGGGUGCCCGGGCGCGCACGGACCCAAUAUUUAUACAUCUCUGUGUGUAAAAAUUAUCUUGGAACGCAAAACAGAUGAGAUAGCAGCACCAAAACAAAUGGAUCUAAAUCAAUGAGCAUCAAAAGAACACCAGAGAACGGUAACAAAAAAAUUUAUGCUUUAUUUAGUAGUUAACAUGAACUACAUGCAGUAGGAUGAUAAACAUAGCAAAUAAAGAGGUCUAAAAUAUAUUGAAUAAAUUAAGAAUUUAAAAUGCAAUUAUAACAGUGCAACGAUGUUUGUUGAACAACAAACAUAGAAUCAAAGUUAGGAAACCUCUCAUUUUGAGAAAUUUAUAGAAUCUUUCUUAAAGUUCAGUUUUAAUAACAAAAUGGUUUAUCAAAAUUUUAUUGAUCAAGAUAUCAAAUCUCACCAUAGGAGCUAGGUCAUUCUCAUGUGAUAUUAUAAGAUUUUCAAUAGCUACAUAUUAAUUUAUCAGAAGCUCAACUAUCCAAAUGAAUUUUAAAAGAUGCAUUUCAUUUUUUACCGUUAAUUCUAUACUACCUUAAAAGCAUUAACUCCAAACUUGAAUGUUGAAUUACAAUAAUACCCCCAAUUAAAAAUACUCAAUUUAUUUAUUUAUUAAUUUAAAUAAGUUUAUUAUAUUGAAAGUAGAUACCUUUUCAAAUUAAAGGAUUGCGACUUUUUCAAUGAGUUGUGACUUUUUUUUUACGGGUUCUGACUUUUUCAAUGAGUUGUCACUUUUCCAAAGGGUUGUGAUUUUUUCGAAGGGCUGUGACUUUUCUAAAGGGUUGUGCCUUUUCUGAUGAGUUGUGCCUUUUUCAAAGGGUUGUGGCUUUGCUGAUAUGCAGUGACUUUUUUGAAAGGUUGUGACUUUUCGGAUAAGGCACAAUUAANNNNNNNNNNNNNNNNNNNNNNNNNNNNNNNNNNNNNNNNNNNNNNNNNNNNNNNNNNNNNNNNNNNNNNNNNNNNNNNNNNNNNNNNNNNNNNNNNNNNNNNNNNNNNNNNNNNNNNNNNNNNNNNNNNNNNNNNNNNNNNNNNNNNNNNNNNNNNNNNNNNNNNNNNNNNNNNNNNNNNNNNNNNNNNNNNNNNNNNNNNNNNNNNNNNNNNNNNNNNNNNNNNNNNNNNNNNNNNNNNNNNNNNNNNNNNNNNNNNNNNNNNNNNNNNNNNNNNNNNNNNNNNNNNNNNNNNNNNNNNNNNNNNNNNNNNNNNNNNNNNNNNNNNNNNNNNNNNNNNNNNNNNNNNNNNNNNNNNNNNNNNNNNNNNNNNNNNNNNNNNNNNNNNNNNNNNNNNNNNNNNNNNNNNNNNNNNNNNNNNNNNNNNNNNNNNNNNNNNNNNNNNNNNNNNNNNNNNNNNNNNNNNNNNNNNNNNNNNNNNNNNNNNNNNNNNNNNNNNNNNNNNNNNNNNNNNAAAAAAAAUAAUUAUUUUUUGAAAUAGCUAUAUGUGCCGUCCCGUUUAUCCCAUCCCGUUCCGUUCCGGUCCAUUCCGGUCCGUCCCGGUUCUAUCCCGGUAUAUAGUGGGACGGGACGGAACCGAGCCUCCAUCCCGGUAGUUCCGGUCCGGUUCAUCCCGGUACCGGUCAACAACCCGGUCAAACCGUCCCGUUCCGGUCCGGUUCCGGUUCGUUCCGGUCCGGUGGUCCCAUUCCGGUCCGGUGCCCAGCCUUAGGCACAAUUAACACCUAUUCAUACUACUAUUUGACAGUUAUAAAAAGAGGGGUUUCCUCGCACUUUUAAACUACAUUUUCUUUAAGUUCUCUACUCUUCUUUUUCUUAAAAAAUCUCAAGUGUUAUUUGCAAAAAUUGAUUAAGUUCAAAAUUCGAGGUACCUCAUAAGAAAAAGUUGGUGAAAAAAUUGUAGGAAUCAUUCAUCAAUUCACACUCGUAUUUUUUUCUUACCAUUUUCAUGAGUUCAGUGACGAAAAGUUGUGGGAGAGACAAAAUAUUAAACAGAUAUGAAAAAAGGCAUAUGAUUUGGGUAAGAUAUUUCUUCUUUGUUUUUUAUUUUCUAUUCUUUUCCCUCAAACGAAGGAGUUUCUUCCUAAUUUUUCUAAAACAAUGGGUAUCAACGUAGUCCAUUGAAUUAUUAGUUUUGAUAUUAAAUUCAUUAUUCAAAAAUAGAUUUUCACUUUUACUUAUAAUAUGAUAACAUAGUCAUGAUAAUAAUUAUUUUUAAUAGAUAUGUAUGUAAAAAUGAAAGGAGAAAGUAAAGUGUUGGUGGCAAGAGAUUUAAAUCAAAUGGAACACUAGAGUGAAUAUAGCAUGAACAUAUAUUUUUGUCUUCCUUCUUCAUUGACUAUGUAUUGUUCCAUAUAAUUUUUCUUUAUGUCACAAGAUGCACACUCCUUACUAGCUAUAUAAAAAUAGAUAAGAAAAUUGUGAUUGAUCAUUAAAUGAUCUUAUAUCAUAUUAAUGAUUCUAUAAAUAAUACUUUACAUUUUAUUCAUCUAUUGUUUUUUAUUAUUGAAAAUAUUAAAUAUUUAAUAUCAUGAUACAACUUCUAUAAGAUACUAAUACUUUCAUUAGACAACAACUAUAUGAUAUGUAUGCGGCAAAAAAAAGGAGAAGACUACAACUCCACAAAGAUAAGGUAGAAACUUAACGAAAUGAAAUAUUUUUCAUCAUAGGUGAUGUUAUUCAUGUAUUAAAAUUAAAUUAUUCUACUGAAGUAUAUAUAAUCAUCAUUCAUUAUAACAACCAAGUACACCUUUUUUGUAAAAUCACCUCUCUAUGAUAGUCUUACUCAAAUAUUAAUAGAGUAAUAAUAUUUUGUAAAAGAUAUGUUACAUAUAAAGAUAAAAUAUUGAAAUACUUAUGGUAAUCCUUAUUAGUGUCAUGCGCAUACUAAAGUACAAGUAUGAAUAUUUAAGACAAAAUCUGUACUUAAAUGGUGUACAUCAUUUAUGUUUAUAACCUCAAGAGGAAAGGGUAUUGGUGACAUUUUUUUAAUGAAUAUUUUUUUUCUAUUUUGUUGGUUAGAUUUGUUUACAAAAUUGAGUGAAGUAAUAAAUAAUAUUAUUAAAGAAAUGUCACUUUCUCCCAUAUUUAAACUUUGAAUGUAUUUUGAAAUGUUUUAAUGAUAACUAUAAACACAAAUGUUGAUACCCUAUUCUCACUCACUCUUCUACUAUGGUAGAAAUAGAAUGUAUAUAUUUUUUUUACUUUUGUGUUGCAAAUAAUUGAGUUUAGUUCUUUAAUGUCCUUUUGUUUAAAUAGUUGAAUUAUGAGCAAUUUUCUCUUUGGUUUUAUCUUUUUUCUCGUUGACUUAUGUGCGAUUUGCUCACUAUUUCUUUUUCCAAAAAUCUCUCCAUACUAAGCGAGUUUGAAAGUUUUUUUUUUUUUGUUAUUUUCGUUGUACACUGAGCGAGUUCUCAACUUCUUUUAUUAUAUGCCCUCAUAGUAACCCCGUCAUUAAUUGAAGUAGGAUAAACAUUUUCUAAUGAAGAAAAAUCAUUAUUAGGAAAAGAACGUGCUUUAAAAAAAAAAGAAGAGAGAAAUAAUAAACUUAAUUGGAAAAAAGACAGUUUUGACUUAUUAAGUAACAAUAACAACAUUUAUAGAUCAAACUAUUGAAGACAAUGAUAUUUUUGGAUCAAACUAUCCACUAAGAAUAUUUUUAUUCAUUUUACAUGAUUUAAGAAUAUUAUAAACCCUUUUUCCGUUAAUUAAAUCAUCACAAAAUCCAAAAAAAAAAAAAAAAAGUUGUUUUCCAACACAUGUUUCCACACACUAAGAAAAGCCAAAAACAGAAAGAAAUUAAACAUUGAAAAACGAAAACAUAAGAAAAAACAGCAACCUUGAUUGAUGGUUGGAGAAGGCAAGUUGAUGAAGUAAGAGCUUCUUCUCUGUUGAUUUAACACAAAUAUUAUUUAUUUAUAUUUAUAUAAAAGAGGAACAAAAAAAUACUACUAAAUUGUGGACAAGAGAGUAUUUUUAAUAUCAUUUUUUUAACAUAUAAAUAAAGCAUCGUCUUAAAUGUGGAUAAGCAAGAGAACAUACAGUAGACCAAUUAUGUUCAAACCAAUUACAAAGCUUAAAACAAUAAUAAAGAAAUGAAACACUAAAACCACUCAAUUAAUAACCAAUGUGCUUGGCAGAAAUGCCAUGCCCCCAUCAAUACCUCUACGAUUAUGAAGACAUCAUAUAUAUAUAUAUAUAUAUAUGCUUGAAAAGCUUCACCACAUAUAAUUCCUCUUCAACAGCUCCACGUCUUUCAUUCUCUCUGGAAUCUCCUUUAAAUUUGGACAGUCAUGGAUACCAAGACCUUUAAUCAGAGGCAUUGCACUUGUGCCUAAAUCCCAUCUUUCUAGCUUUGAAAGAUCAUAAAGAUGAAGGAACUCUAGUUGACUGAAGCUGUUAUCACUGCACAUUAUUUCUUUUCCUUCAUAAGCUCCAACCAAAUGGAGAUUCCUUAGGUUUGGCAACAUUCCCAAAAUAGGCAUCGGAUCUUCCGUCAGUUUUGAGUUCUCAAGAAGCAUCAUUGUGAUGGAAUUUGGAAACAGAGGCAGUUUCCCUAUUCUCCCUUCUAACCUCAAUUUCUGGAGCUUUUCACAACAAUUAACAAAUUCAAGAGAUGGGAAUGAUUCAGUUUCUCCACAAAUCAAUUUGAGAGUGCUAAGGUUUUUCAAGCUGCUAAUGUUGUUUAGGGAGUAAGUUUUGCUAGUAUGAAACAUGCUUAAUUCUCGAAGAUUGACUAAAUCAACAGGAUCAACAUCUUUCCAUUGAUCACAACAAACUCUUUCAAGAACUUGAAGACUAGUGAGUUUGCUUAUAUGUGCCAGAGGUUUUGAAUACCAAACAACUAAAUGUCUUAGAUUUAUCAGGUUAGCUGUCUCGCGGGGUAGUUUGCAGGAGUAGUAUCCCCCCUCAUUGACAACAAGUGUCUGUAGAUUCUUGAGGUUGCCAAUGGAAGAUGGAAGAUCACGGUUAGCUCUCAAGCUUAAGAACUUAAGGUGGUACAAACUUCCUAUGGCAUCAGGUAUAGCACCACAGCCUUUAAUAUGCAAGUACAACACAUAUAUAUGUCGAAACACAUCUAUAUGUUGGAACACAUUACGAAAAUCCUGAUUGAAGAACAUAAUUGACCUCAACUUCAAAUUAGAAAGAUCAAGUAAGUGAUACAUUUCUCCUUGACCAUGAAAGGCAAGUCUGAUACAUGAAGAGGAUUUGGAGUGCUUUCUUGGAUGAUAAAUGUCAAAGAGGUUUGUGUCGGAUGCCUUUUGUAUGGCAAGAUCACGGAGUAAAUCAUGAACCCUACAUUCAGUAACUUUUUCCCAAAACGUAUUAGCCACUUGAACCAAGCUUCGUCUUAUCAGCUCAUUCAAGAAGCCUUCAGCCACAUCCUCCAUUCUUUCUUCUCCAUUUGGUAUGAAACCCUCGGCCAUCCACAACAGUAUUAUCUUUUCAGCAUCGACCUCUUGAUCUUCUGGAAAAAUACCAAAGUACAGAAAACACUGCUUGAGCACAGUUGACAAAAUCAUUGUAGCUUAAGGAUAGAAUGCAGGAGAUUUCAAUAAAUUUAUCUUCAAUAAUGUUCUUCCAAAGUUGAUCUUUCACUUCUUGCCAUUUGUCCACCCCCCCUCUAUGCGAAAGUAGUCCACUCAAUACAACAAUUGCAAGAGGUAAGCCUCUACACUUUUCCACCAUAUCCUUAGCUAGACUUUCCAUUGCUGGAACCAUUGCUCGAACAUCAAGUAGUUUCCUACAAAAGAGAUCCCAACUUUCUUCUUGGCUUAGGAAACGAAGUUCAUGGCCAAAACCUCUGUCGUCUGCUCUUUCAGCGACAUCCACUUUGCGCGUGGUAAUAAUAACUCUGCUGCCAUUCUUGCUAUCCGGGAAUGCUCUUUUCAAACUUUCCCAUGCUUCUCUCUGCCAUACAUCAUCAACCACCACAAGGUAUUUGUGUUCUUUCAAUAGAUCACGAAGGUGAACUUCUAGAUCUCCUUCUGUCAUAGUUUCUAACAAUCCUAGAGUUCCCUUGGUGCGACCUUGGAUGGAUUUUAUGAUAGUCUUAAGAAGAUCCAUUAUGUUGUACUCUUGAGAAACACAUAUCCAAGCGCGUGUAGGGAAGCUUGAGAUUAUAUUAGGACUGGUGUAGAGGUUUCUUGCAAGAGUGGUCUUGCCUAAUCCGCCCAUGCCAUAAAUGGAGAGGACGCUUCGACGAGGCUCUGCUUUGAGAAGUUGAGCUAGCAAUGUUUGUACAACAUCCUGAAGUCCAACAAAAAUGUAAUCCUGGUCAUCCACAUAUGAGGUAGUUCUCCUCAAUGUUCUAACCUGAUUACUUGGCCCUUCUCCAGCAUUACUAUUGAUAUUUGUAAUCCCAUAAGUCUCUCGCUUGCGAGAGAUAUCUAUGAUUCGCUGCUUGAGUGAUUGAAUCUCCUCGGCGACAUUGUAGAAUUUCUUCUCUUUCCUACAUAUGCAAGCGCAAGCCUUGAGACGACUAGCAAAUUCAUGGUCAUCACCUUUAUCAACCUCAAAGCUGUAAGUCUCGAGUAUUGCGACAGCAUCAUUCGCAACAGAAUUGAUUUCAAACACCCAUUGUUGAACUCUAUGAUCUACACAUUGCUUUAGUUCUGCAUCUUUGAGGAAAGACUGUAUGAAGAGUAGCUCAUUUCUCAGCCACUCAAUUUCCUUUCUCAGAUUUUUACGCAGGGAAACUUGUUGUAUGAGGAAAUCACCCAAUUUUUGAACUGCAAAUGACAGAAAGGCAUCAGCCAUCUUCAGGAAUACUACUUCUGAUUGAAAUACAAGUUGGAAAAUGGGAGAUAGAGAUCAAAAGCAAUAAGAGGGGACUGUAUAUUGGAAUACAAGUUGGAAAAUGGGAGAUAGACAUAAAAGUAAGAACAAAUAAUGUGUUCAAUUAAGGGUCCACUUAUCACUUAUGUGAUUAAAGUUUAGAAAAAAACGAAACAUGACCAUUUGGUUUCUGAUAAAAGGACAAAGAUGUAUUAAACAAAAGGUAAAAAAAAAUUUAAAUAAAGCAUCUUCAACAACCAUUAUACAACUUGGGGAAAAACACAUAUAGAGAAAAGUCUUACAAAAUUAAAGCAACUUCAACAAUCAUUGCACAACUUGUGGAAUAUAUGUAUUGAGAAAAGAUUAAAAAAAUUGAAGCAUCUUCAACAAUCACUACACAACUUGUGGAAAAAAAAUAUUUGUUUUUGUUUGUUCAUAAUAAUAAUUUUAUUUUAUUCUUUUUGCUUGUUACAAUGAAAUAAUUUAGGAUUUCGCUAUCUAAUGCGGCGAUUAAAUAUGAUGAUUCAUGAUUGUUGUGGUAAUGGUUGUUAGUGGUAUUAAAUAUCUAGUAAUUCUGUUUUAUCCCGCAACCUACUUUUCGUGUAGUUCCUCUUUCAAAUUACUGAUGUGUGACAGUAUGUAAAUAACGGGAAACAAUACAAUCUAGUUAUAUCUAAUACAGUUAAACAAAGAGAACUGGAAAAUAUGAGUAAUUUAGCACACAGUAACUUAUAAAGGCUAAAAUCCCCGAGUGCUUGAUUACAAGAGAUGAAUGAAAACAAGAAGGAAUUUCAACAGGUUCCUGUUUUCCACUAUGAUGGCAUGUGUUCUCUUCUCCCUCUUGUUUUUAUUUGUUUCUCCUUCAUAUGGGAUUCUUUUUCCUUUUUGUCUAAUCCGUUUUCAACCCGCUCAUAUUCAAUCCAACCUGCCCAUUUUAAGUCGCCGUACAAGACCUUGUACACUAGAAAUGUUCACAAGAAAAUUGACUCAGCUGCCUCUUUUAGUCGGAUACUUAUGAAAGUUGCAUUGUCUCCUCUGAUGGAUUAUUUUCCCUUGCUUCUUGACCUUCAAGCUUCGAUGAGUUAGCGAUGGCUUCUGAUAUAGCCUUUGGUAGCCAAAAUCCAGGUCUUUCAAUAGAGGCUGCACGAUCAAGUACCAAUGGUUCACGCAAAGUGAUCUGAAUGCCAUCAUAUGUCCACAACACUAAAUCUGCUUCGCCUUUCAAACCUAGGGAGAACCAUCCUAAGCCAGCAACCGCAACAUCCAUGCUCUUGACAUCCCAGCUCGUUCCACGUGCUUUUACUUCCC
This 14844-nucleotide long non-coding RNA is filed under the name Solanum tuberosum (potato). RNAcentral describes it as "long non-coding RNA (STUB_LNC004359)". Lineage: Eukaryota; Viridiplantae; Streptophyta; Magnoliopsida; Solanales; Solanaceae. The record is from RNAcentral.